Molecule: transfer RNA, 67 nt
Filed under: Carpilius maculatus
Lineage: Eukaryota; Metazoa; Arthropoda; Malacostraca; Decapoda; Carpiliidae
Description: tRNA-Thr
Rfam family: tRNA
About the family: Transfer RNA (tRNA) molecules are approximately 80 nucleotides in length. Their secondary structure includes four short double-helical elements and three loops (D, anti-codon, and T loops).
Source: RNAcentral
GUUUUAAUAGUUUAAAUAAAAACUUUGGUCUUGUAAACCAAAAAUGAAAUAACUUCUUCUUAAAACU